AACGAACGCUGGCGGCAUGCCUAACACAUGCAAGUCGAACGAGACCUUCGGGUCUAGUGGCGCACGGGUGCGUAACGCGUGGGAACCUGCCCUUAGGUUCGGAAUAACUCCCGAAAGGGGUGCUAAUACCGGAUAAUGUCUUCGGACCAAAGAUUUAUCGCCUUUGGAUGGGCCCGCGUUGGAUUAGCUAGUUGGUAGGGUAAAAGCCUACCAAGGCGACGAUCCAUAGCUGGUCUGAGAGGAUGAUCAGCCACACUGGGACUGAGACACGGCCCAGACUCCUACGGGAAGCAGCAGUGGGGAAUAUUGGACAAUGGGCGAAAGCCUGAUCCAGCAAUGCCGCGUGAGUGAUGAAGGCCUUAGGGUUGUAAAGCUCUUUUACCCGGGAUGAUAAUGACAGUACCGGGAGAAUAAGCGCCGGCUAACUCCGUG
This 432-nucleotide ribosomal RNA is filed under the name uncultured bacterium. RNAcentral's name for it is "partial 16S ribosomal RNA". It matches the Rfam family "Bacterial small subunit ribosomal RNA", at positions 29 to 507 of the family's 1533-position model. The record is from RNAcentral.